RNAcentral lists this ribosomal RNA (754 nucleotides) under uncultured cyanobacterium. RNAcentral's name for it is "bacterial SSU rRNA". It matches the Rfam family "Bacterial small subunit ribosomal RNA", at positions 28 to 824 of the family's 1533-position model. Lineage: Bacteria; Bacillati; Cyanobacteriota. The record is from RNAcentral.
GAUGAACGCUGGCGGUAUGCUUAACACAUGCAAGUCGAACGGACACUUUCGGGUGUUAGUGGCGGACGGGUGAGUAACGCGUGAGAAUCUGCCUUUAGGUUCGGGACAACCAUUGGAAACGAUGGCUAAUACCGGAUAUGCAGCGAUGUGAAAGAUAUAUUGCCUAAAGAUGAGCUCGCGUCUGAUUAGCUAGUUGGUGGGGUAAAGGCCUACCAAGGCGACGAUCAGUAACUGGUCUGAGAGGAUGAUCAGUCACACUGGAACUGAGACACGGUCCAGACUCCUACGGGAGGCAGCAGUGGGGAAUUUUCCGCAAUGGGCGAAAGCCUGACGGAGCAAUACCGCGUGAGGGAGGAAGGCUCUUGGGUUGUAAACCUCUUUUCUUAGGGAAGAACAAAAUGACGGUACCUAAGGAAUAAGCAUCGGCUAACUCCGUGCCAGCAGCCGCGGUAAUACGGAGGAUGCAAGCGUUAUCCGGAAUGAUUGGGCGUAAAGCGUCCGCAGGUGGUUUUGUAAGUCUAUUGUUAAAGCGUCUGGCUCAACCAGAUAAUGGCGGUGGAAACUACAAGACUAGAGUCCGUUCGGGGCAGAGGGAAUUCCUGGUGUAGCGGUGAAAUGCGUAGAGAUCAGGAAGAACACCGGUGGCGAAAGCGCUCUGCUAGGCCGGAACUGACACUGAGGGACGAAAGCUAGGGGAGCGAAUGGGAUUAGAUACCCCAGUAGUCCUAGCCGUAAACGAUGGAUACUAGGCGUG